Non-coding RNA from Arachis ipaensis, 174 nucleotides. The record is from RefSeq and is a predicted model, not a curated record. Lineage: Eukaryota; Viridiplantae; Streptophyta; Magnoliopsida; Fabales; Fabaceae.
AGUUCACGAUUUCCCAAAUACGAUUUUCCGUUCAAAUAAAUGCGCAUACAAUUAUUAGCAGCUCUAUUGAGACAGUCUCUGCUUUCUACUCACAGGAAAUAUACUCUUGGGAACGGAAAAUUGCUGUAGGUAUCCUAGUUUCCUUACAGAAGCUCUUGGGAACGGAAAAUUGCU